AUUAUGAGAGUUUGAUCCUGGCUCAGGACGAACGCUGGCGGCGUGCCUAAUACAUGCAAGUCGAACGCUUCUUUCCUCCCGAGUGCUUGCACUCAAUUGGAAAGAGGAGUGGCGGACGGGUGAGUAACACGUGGGUAACCUACCCAUCAGAGGGGGAUAACACUUGGAAACAGGUGCUAAUACCGCAUAACAGUUUAUGCCGCAUGGCAUAAGAGUGAAAGGCGCUUUCGGGUGUCGCUGAUGGAUGGACCCGCGGUGCAUUAGCUAGUUGGUGAGGUAACGGCUCACCAAGGCCACGAUGCAUAGCCGACCUGAGAGGGUGAUCGGCCACACUGGGACUGAGACACGGCCCAGACUCCUACGGGAGGCAGCAGUAGGGAAUCUUCGGCAAUGGACGAAAGUCUGACCGAGCAACGCCGCGUGAGUGAAGAAGGUUUUCGGAUCGUAAAACUCUGUUGUUAGAGAAGAACAAGGACGUUAGUAACUGAACGUCCCCUGACGGUAUCUAACCAGAAAGCCACGGCUAACUACGUGCCAGCAGCCGCGGUAAUACGUAGGUGGCAA
This 564-nucleotide ribosomal RNA is filed under the name Listeria monocytogenes. RNAcentral describes it as "bacterial SSU rRNA". It matches the Rfam family "Bacterial small subunit ribosomal RNA", at positions 1 to 537 of the family's 1533-position model. Lineage: Bacteria; Bacillati; Bacillota; Bacilli; Caryophanales; Listeriaceae. The record is from RNAcentral.